GAUGAACGCUGGCGGCGUGCCUAAUACAUGCAAGUCGAGCGAACGGACGAGAAGCUUGCUUCUCUGAUGUUAGCGGCGGACGGGUGAGUAACACGUGGAUAACCUACCUAUAAGACUGGGAUAACUUCGGGAAACCGUAGCUAAUACCGGAUAAUAUUUUGAACCGCAUGGUUCAAAAGUGAAAGACGGUCUCGCUGUCACUUAUAGAUGGAUCCGCGCUGCAUUAGCUAGUUGGUAAGGUAACGGCUUACCAAGGCAACGAUGCAUAGCCGACCUGAGAGGGUGAUCGGCCACACUGGAACUGAGACACGGUCCAGACUCCUACGGGAGGCAGCAGUAGGGAAUCUUCCGCAGUGGGCGAAAGCCUGACGGAGCAACGCCGCGUGAGUGAUGAAGGUCUUCGGAUCGUAAAACUCUGUUAUUAGGGAAGAACAUAUGUGUAAGUAACUGUGCACAUCUUGACGGUACCUAAUCAGAAAGCCACGGCUAACUACGU
Molecule: ribosomal RNA, 496 nt
Filed under: uncultured bacterium
Lineage: Bacteria
Description: partial 16S ribosomal RNA
Rfam family: Bacterial small subunit ribosomal RNA
Source: RNAcentral